Long non-coding RNA from Ziziphus jujuba (common jujube), 547 nucleotides. RefSeq lists it as uncharacterized. Lineage: Eukaryota; Viridiplantae; Streptophyta; Magnoliopsida; Rosales; Rhamnaceae. The transcript is spliced from 3 exons. The record is from RefSeq and is a predicted model, not a curated record.
UUCUUGGAUUUUUCAAAAAAUCUUCAAAAUGGAAAAAUACAAUUAGAAUCCUAUCGUCGGAACCCUAGUUUGGUUUUUGUCAUAGGGACUUGCCAAAUGGAAGUUUAUUUUGGAAGCUGCAGCAGGAGGAAUCAUCCAUGGUGAAGUAUUCAAGAGAGCCUAAUCCUACCAACUCCUGCAAAGCCAGGGGAUCAGAUCUAUGAGUUCAUUUUAAGGUAUGCUUGUUCAACUUGACUGCCUUAUUAAUUGCUUUUAUGUGGUUGGUUCUAUACUUUGUGAUAAACAAUAGUUCUACAGAUCACCAUCUGUUCUUUAAAGCCUAUUUGAUUGGUGGACCUAUAAGGUAUAUUAUUGGGUUCACUGGAAUGCAGUAAUGGAAGCUGUAUUGAGCUGGGACAAAUGAAGGUCCUAUGCUGUUAUUGGAAGAUAGAAUUUCUAUUUUGUUCACUUACUUCCUUUUACUAUGGCUUUAUGUACCAAAGUGUCUUUUAGAGUUAAGGUCCUGGUAUGCAUGAUAGACAUGGAUAUUUUUUCCAUGGGCAUGUCA